Molecule: long non-coding RNA, 76 nt
Organism: Etheostoma spectabile (orangethroat darter)
Lineage: Eukaryota; Metazoa; Chordata; Actinopteri; Perciformes; Percidae
Exons: 3
Source: RefSeq, a predicted model, not a curated record
AAAGUUGGGGUUGGAGGGUUUUUUAUGUUGUGCGUCAAAUCGACGGCGUACCCCGCAGACCGCUUUGCGUCUACUC